This 72-nucleotide transfer RNA is filed under the name Hexanchus nakamurai (bigeye sixgill shark). RNAcentral's name for it is "tRNA-Asp". The record is from RNAcentral. Lineage: Eukaryota; Metazoa; Chordata; Chondrichthyes; Hexanchiformes; Hexanchidae.
AAAUUUAUUAUAUUAUCUUGUCAAGAUAAAAUUGUGAGUUAAAAACUCACGUAUCUUUAAACCUAAUGGCAC